RNAcentral lists this ribosomal RNA (467 nucleotides) under uncultured bacterium. RNAcentral describes it as "partial 16S ribosomal RNA". It matches the Rfam family "Bacterial small subunit ribosomal RNA", at positions 28 to 506 of the family's 1533-position model. The record is from RNAcentral.
GACGAACGCUGGCGGCGUGCUUAACACAUGCAAGUCGAACGGAAAGGCCCUGCUUUUGUGGGGUGCUCGAGUGGCGAACGGGUGAGUAACACGUGAGUAACCUGCCCUUGACUUUGGGAUAACUUCAGGAAACUGGGGCUAAUACCGGAUAGGAGCUCCUGCUGCAUGGUGGGGGUUGGAAAGUUUCGUCGGUUGGGGAUGGACUCGCGGCUUAUCAGCUUGUUGGUGGGGUAGUGGCUUACCAAGGCUUUGACGGGUAGCCGGCCUGAGAGGGUGACCGGCCACAUUGGGACUGAGAUACGGCCCAGACUCCUACGGGAGGCAACAGUGGGGAAUAUUGCACAAUGGGCGGAAGCCUGAUGCAGCAACGCCGCGUGCGGGAUGACGGCCUUCGGGUUGUAAACCGCUUUCGCCUGUGACGAAGCGUGAGUGACGGUAAUGGGUAAAGAAGCACCGGCUAACUACGU